GUGGUUUUUGAGGCUUCUGAAAGUUGUGGCUUCUAUGUUUUUAAUUUCCUCUUCUAAUAGCCUUUUCUAUGACUAUCUUACCAUAGCUUUUCUUAGAAGCUCAGCCAUGGGUUUGAAAACAGGACUUGCAUUUCAUGUAGCUGUCUUUGCCAGUCUACCAGAAAGUGUUGAAGUCAAUAGUGUCCUUCACGUUAUUCAUUAGCAGAAAGAUGAUGGUGUAGAGAUCAGGGUCUGAGGUGUUAAGCUGGGCUGAUAAAUAACAGCAGGGAGGGAUCUGCUUAUGUCCUGAAGCUCCAGGAACACUUGAUUUGUAGAACAAGAAUAAUGUUUAUAUUAUUAUAUGUUUUACACAUAUGAUUUUACAAAAAAUUCACCUGCACUUAUGGAAAUUUAAUCUUCAAAACAAUCCUUUUUUUUUAAACAUAAGAAAAUAGCCUCCAGAAGAUAAAUUGCCUUGCUGAUCAUGGAGCUCUGAAGGUGGAAACAAUGGAUUAUCUGUUCUUCUGAUUUUUACGCCAGCACUCUCACUACACCAUAUGGCACUUUACUGCAAACCAAAGGAUUCGUGGGGCACUGAAACUUGGGACUCACCUGCAAACCCACGAUAUAAGAGGCUUGCACCUGCCUUCAUCCACAAACGUGGCAGAAUGAAAGGCAGGAUUAUCAACCACCCACUUGAAGGCUGUUUGAUGCACCGAAGUCAGUACAAGACUUACGUCUCUGAACGGUCCAUGCUGCAGCAGACACCACUUGUACCCAGCCCUACAAAGUCAGGCCCACCCUUUCAUCCAGUCAUUGUCAUGGUAACUGCGCAACUCAGAUGUAACCUUAUGGCACUUUACCUCAGCUGCACUGUGGGCUUCUCAUUCUCUGCUCCAGGCUUUCUCUGACUUCAAGGCAGAAGACACUUGAGCAAACCCAGACUUUACAAGGGAACAAAUACACUAUAGUGGAAUCCUUUACCAGUGGGAACUUGAACCCAGUGGAGACGUGGUUGCUUCUUUUGGACAUGAGGCACACUCUGUAGAGAGAACCAAUAGGACUGGGUGACCAACCUGAUAUGCACAUUUCAAUUCCUUCUGCUCCUUUUCAUAUUCUCCACUUUCCCUCUCCUAUUCC
This 1119-nucleotide long non-coding RNA is filed under the name Fukomys damarensis (Damara mole-rat). RNAcentral describes it as "lncRNA (ENSFDAG00000023289.1)". Lineage: Eukaryota; Metazoa; Chordata; Mammalia; Rodentia; Bathyergidae. The record is from RNAcentral.